AUGACAGAAGGGCAAGAGAGCAAGUAUAUGUCAAGCUUAUGCUGAAAUCACAUCCACUAACAUCUCAUUGACCAAAUCAUGUCAUAUAGCCAAGCCCAACAUCAAUGGGAUAUGGAAGCAUUCUCUGUCCACAGUAGGAGAGAAAGAUUAUAUUUACUAAAAGAUAUAACUGGAAAAUGCCUCCAAACAGAUGCUAGUCUUUACAUCAGUGGCUCUCAGAUAGAUUGUUUCUUGAUGUCCUACAACCCAUGAUUAAAGAACUUCUGGCUUCCUUCUUAGUAAUCUACAUAUUUGCUUCAAGCCUUCAACUUUUUGAAACCCCAGAGGAUCAUUUCAUGGUAAAAGUAACAUCAAUUUUGACAACUGCCCACAGACAAGAACACCUUUGUGGGAGUAUAGAAAUGCAGCAGAGAAGUUCCAGCAAACCAUUGGAGAAAAAAAAGUUAAAAAAUACAGACAUCG
Molecule: long non-coding RNA, 462 nt
Organism: Balaenoptera musculus (blue whale)
Lineage: Eukaryota; Metazoa; Chordata; Mammalia; Artiodactyla; Balaenopteridae
Exons: 4
Source: RefSeq, a predicted model, not a curated record